AUGAACGUUGGCGGCGUGCCUAAGACAUGCAAGUCGAGUGGGUUUAGACCCACGGCGAACGGGUGAGUAAUACCUAGGAACAUCCCUUAAGUUGAGCAUAACCCACCGAAAGGUGGAGCAAUUCUCGAUGUCAUCGAAAGAUGAAAGUCGCAAGACGCUUAAGGCGUGGCCUGGGCACCAUCAGCUAGUUGGUAAGGUAAUGGCUUACCAAGGCUAUGACGGUUAGGGGGCCCGAGAGGGUGAACCCCCACACUGGAACUGCGACACGGUCCAGACUCCUACGGGAGGCAGCAGUUUGGAAUAUUGGACAAUGGGCGAAAGCCUGAUCCAGCGACGCCGCGUGGAUGAUGAAGGCCUUCGGGUUGUAAAAUCCUUUUAGCAGGGAACAAUUUUUGAGCGUACCUGCAGAAUAAGUGGUUGCUAACUCUGU
RNAcentral lists this ribosomal RNA (430 nucleotides) under uncultured bacterium. RNAcentral's name for it is "bacterial SSU rRNA". It matches the Rfam family "Bacterial small subunit ribosomal RNA", at positions 29 to 506 of the family's 1533-position model. The record is from RNAcentral.